Molecule: ribosomal RNA, 780 nt
Filed under: uncultured bacterium
Lineage: Bacteria
Description: bacterial SSU rRNA
Rfam family: Bacterial small subunit ribosomal RNA
Source: RNAcentral
UCGAACGAGAAAGUGGAGCAAUCCAUGAGUACAGUGGCGUACGGGUGAGUAACACGUGGGUGAUCUACCCUUUGGUGAGGAAUAACCCUGGGAAACCGGGGCUAAUACCGCAUAAGCUCGAGAGAGGAAAGCAGCAAUGCGCCGAAGGAGGAGCCCGCGGCCGAUUAGCUAGUUGGUGAGGUAAGAGCUCACCAAGGCAAAGAUCGGUAGCCGGCCUGAGAGGGCACACGGCCACACUGGCACUGAAACACGGGCCAGACUCCUACGGGAGGCAGCAGUGGGGAAUCUUGCACAAUGGGGGAAACCCUGAUGCAGCGACGCCGCGUGAGCGAUGAAGCCCUUCGGGGUGUAAAGCUCUUUCGGCAGGGAAGAUGAUGACGGUACCUGCAGAAGCAGCUGCGGCUAACUACGUGCCAGCAGCCGCGGUAAUACGUAGGCAGCGAGCGUUGUUCGGAGUUACUGGGCGUAAAGGGUGUGUAGGCGGUUGUUUAAGUUUGGUGUGAAAUCUCCCGGCUCAACUGGGAGGGUGCGCCGAAUACUGAGUGACUAGAGUGCGGGAGAGGAAAGUGGAAUUCCUGGUGUAGCGGUGAAAUGCGUAGAUAUCAGGAGGAACACCGGUGGUGUAGACGGCUUUCUGGACCGUAACUGACGCUGAAACACGAAAGCGUGGGUAGCAAACAGGAUUAGAUACCCUGGUAGUCCACGCCCUAAACGAUGCACAUUUGGUGUGGGUCAUUCAGUUGAUCCGUGCCGGAGCUAACGCGUUAAAUGUGCCGCCUG